Molecule: long non-coding RNA, 598 nt
Organism: Peromyscus maniculatus bairdii (prairie deer mouse)
Lineage: Eukaryota; Metazoa; Chordata; Mammalia; Rodentia; Cricetidae
Source: RefSeq, a predicted model, not a curated record
GGGGGAGACACUGCAGCCACCGCCAGGACAAGCAGCAUGUAAAAACUCUGGAUGCCAGCGGGAAGAAAAUCAAGCUUGGCCUGGGAUAGAACCUUCUGUCCUGGUUCUUAGCACUGGCAAGGCUGGAAGAUGCUCUGCAGAUACCUCCUGUGGAUGAAAUGGCAUGGAAGUCUCCCAUGUGAAGCCUUUGUGCAAUGCUGUAAAUUAUCAAGCAAGAUCAGCCCCCCUGGAAGCCUAAGGACAAGUCUCUCAUAUGGGUAAUAGUAAUCAUAGUAAGGGAUGACAUAGACAUUGGUGGGUGAUAUCUUGUCACUUUGGUGACAGAGGAAAAGCAUUUUCUCCAAAGACAAAUCCAUGAUAAGUUAUCCACUCCAAAGUUGUCAGCCAUGUACAUACGUGGGAGCAACAGUCACAAUAUCUGCAUCAUCAAUCUAAGUAAGGAAACAUCAAGAUAUACUUGAAACGCCAUGCAAAAUUCAGAGCCAAUGGAAUUCCCUGAUCUAAUCUGUGUCAAGCAGUGUUCCCUGUAAUUGUUAGCCAGUUCUCUAAGUUGACCUACUGGCAACAGAUGAUGAAACUAUACUCCAUGAAGGUCAGA